UACAGAGGUCCCAAGCGUUGUUCGGAUUCACUGGGCGUAAAGGGUGCGUAGGUGGUGAGGUAAGUCGGAUGUGAAAGCUCGGAGCUCAACUCCGAAAUGGCAUUGGAAACUACCUUGCUCGAGGGUUGGAGGGGGGACUGGAAUACUUGGUGUAGCAGUAAAAUGCGUAGAUAUCAAGUGGAACACCAGUGGCGAAGGCGAGUCCCUGGACAACUCCUGACACUGAGGCACGAAAGCUAGGGGAGCAAACAGG
This 253-nucleotide ribosomal RNA is filed under the name uncultured bacterium. Its description in RNAcentral is "partial 16S ribosomal RNA". It matches the Rfam family "Bacterial small subunit ribosomal RNA", at positions 524 to 776 of the family's 1533-position model. The record is from RNAcentral.